AAUUAUACUUUUGAAAAUUAUUGAUCAAUAUCCUUUACUUAUUGUUAUUAAACAUUCAUUAGGUCCGUCUGCACAAGUCUCGACGCAGCCUCACAGAUUGAGCCCUGUACGUCCACAGUCAGAUUACUUCGGUGACGAGGCCGGUCCGUCUUCGGCGGCCCCACACCCUACCCCCCCCCCCCCGCAACGUACUACGGCACGUCAGCGUGGCCUUCUUCUGCUGCACCGUCGUACCACGCAGGCCCCUCCAGCCAGUACACAUGGACGCCUGCCGAGCCUUCACAGUCCUCCUACCCUAGUCAGGAGGAUGAGGCUGGCCCCGACACCGCAUACGACAUCGUCCGUGACUUCUUCGGGGGCACACCUGACUAUGACGUCCUUCAGCGGUCCCAGGUUUCCAGUGCACCGCUUCGGACCCAGCCCACGCACGACGAGCCCUCGACACCGGUGGUCCCUACUAGGCCUACCAGACACGUCGGCCCACCUGACCCCCUCACCUACUCCAGGGGUCACGUGAGGGUUAACCAGCGGCAUCGGGACCACGAUGGGGCGCACGGACGACGGCAACGAGGGAGGCAUGAGUAGCAUUUUACAUUUUUUGUAACUAACAUAUGCGUAUUCGUUUCGUGAUGUGCUCAUAUGUAUUAAGACACGUUCACUUUGUAUGGUCGACUUAGCAUUUCGUAAAUGCAUUUCAUAUUCAGACACGUUCAAUGAACAAGUGACCACACCACUAAACUUUAACCAUGACUUGACAACACAUGCCUCCUGCCGCAGGCUUUAAACAAGAUGUGACAACACUACCCAGCUUUUUCAAAUCAGUAAAUGACAACACGGGUACCAAUAAACGUGGAAUCUCUGACCAUGGGCAACGACAAAACUGUCACAUUCUUCAAGAUGGAAUCCGAUGCUCCUCCCGCCAGCUACGUC
Long non-coding RNA from Phragmites australis (common reed), 930 nucleotides. RefSeq lists it as uncharacterized. Lineage: Eukaryota; Viridiplantae; Streptophyta; Magnoliopsida; Poales; Poaceae. The transcript is spliced from 3 exons. The record is from RefSeq and is a predicted model, not a curated record.